ACUCUCCAGUGUGAUGAUGUGUCA
Molecule: small nuclear RNA, 24 nt
Filed under: Arabidopsis thaliana (thale cress)
Lineage: Eukaryota; Viridiplantae; Streptophyta; Magnoliopsida; Brassicales; Brassicaceae
Description: snRNA_05935
Source: RNAcentral